RNAcentral lists this ribosomal RNA (892 nucleotides) under marine metagenome. RNAcentral describes it as "bacterial SSU rRNA". It matches the Rfam family "Bacterial small subunit ribosomal RNA", at positions 235 to 1145 of the family's 1533-position model. The record is from RNAcentral.
ACUUGAUUAGUUUGUUGGUGGGGUAAUGGCCUACCAAGACUGUGAUCAAUAGCUGAUUUGAGAGGAUGAUCAGCCACAUUGGGACUGAGACACGGCCCAAACUCCUACGGGAGGCAGCAGUGGGGAAUCUUGCACAAUGGAGGAAACUCUGAUGCAGCGAUGCCGCGUGAGUGAAGAAGGCCUUUGGGUUGUAAAGCUCUUUCGUCGGGGAAGAAAAUGACUGUACCCGAAUAAGAAGGUCCGGCUAACUUCGUGCCAGCAGCCGCGGUAAUACGAAGGGACCUAGCGUAGUUCGGAAUUACUGGGCUUAAAGAGUUCGUAGGUGGUUGAAAAAGUUGGUGGUGAAAUCCCAGAGCUUAACUCUGGAACUGCCAUCAAAACUUUUCAGCUAGAGUAUGAUAGAGGAAAGCAGAAUUUCUAGUGUAGAGGUGAAAUUCGUAGAUAUUAGAAAGAAUACCAAUUGCGAAGGCAGCUUUCUGGAUCAUUACUGACACUGAGGAACGAAAGCAUGGGUAGCGAAGAGGAUUAGAUACCCUCGUAGUCCAUGCCGUAAACGAUGUGUGUUAGACGUUGGAAAUUUAUUUUCAGUGUCGCAGCGAAAGCGAUAAACACACCGCCUGGGGAGUACGACCGCAAGGUUAAAACUCAAAUGAAUUGACGGGGACCCGCACAAGUAGUGGAGCAUGUGGUUUAAUUCGAAGAUACGCGCAGAACCUUACCAACACUUGACAUGUUCGUCGCGACUUUAAGAGAUUAAAGUUUUCGGUUCGGCCGGACGAAACACAGGUGCUGCAUGGCUGUCGUCAGCUCGUGUCGUGAGAUGUUGGGUUAAGUCCCGCAACGAGCGCAACCCUCACUUUUAGUUGCCAUCAUUUAGUUGGGCACUCUGAAA